This 161-nucleotide unclassified non-coding RNA is filed under the name uncultured Chaetothyriales. RNAcentral's name for it is "sequence contains ITS2". The record is from RNAcentral. Lineage: Eukaryota; Fungi; Ascomycota; Eurotiomycetes; Chaetothyriales.
UCACCCCUCAAGCCCGGCUUGGUGUUGGACCCCGGGUCCCCUCGCGGGGACCGGUCCCAAAGAUAAUGGCAGGUUGGUCGCGACCUCGGUACACUGAGCUUCACAAGAGCACGUGCCGCGUGGGCGUCGAUCGGCCUGGUCUCCCCCCUAAAUUUUUCUUA